AACGCGAAGAACCUUACCUACCCUUGACAUGGUCGGAAUCCUGCAGAGAUGCGGGAGUGCUCGAAAGAGAACCGGCGCACAGGUGCUGCAUGGCUGUCGUCAGCUCGUGUCGUGAGAUGUUGGGUUAAGUCCCGCAACGAGCGCAACCCUUGUCAUUAGUUGCUACGAAAGGGCACUCUAAUGAGACUGCCGGUGACAAACCGGAGGAAGGUGGGGAUGACGUCAAGUCCUCAUGGCCCUUAUGGGUAGGGCUUCACACGUCAUACAAUGGUACAUACAGAGGGCCGCCAACCCGCGAGGGGGAGCUAAUCCCAGAAAGUGUAUCGUAGUCCGGAUUGCAGUCUGCAACUCGACUGCAUGAAGUUGGAAUCGCUAGUAAUCGCGGAUCAGCAUGUCGCGGUGAAUACGUUCCCGGGCCUUGUACACACCG
This 430-nucleotide ribosomal RNA is filed under the name uncultured Herbaspirillum sp. RNAcentral describes it as "bacterial SSU rRNA". It matches the Rfam family "Bacterial small subunit ribosomal RNA", at positions 958 to 1392 of the family's 1533-position model. The record is from RNAcentral. Lineage: Bacteria; Pseudomonadati; Pseudomonadota; Betaproteobacteria; Burkholderiales; Oxalobacteraceae.